AGUUGGAGCCAGACAGCGGGGUGGACAAGUGGCGUGUGUGCUGCGACCCCGAGGGAAGAUGAACGGGACGCGGAACUGGUGUACCCUGGUGGACGUGCACCCAGAGGACCAGGCGGCGGUAAGAAAAAGCGCUCUCGCUGUCUUCUCCGUUUUGUAUUCCCGGUUUCUAAGUCCGCCCCUUCCGUGCCCCGCGCCGUGUUGGCUGACAUCACCUGGUGCCCGGCUCGCGCGGUCAGCCCUGCGCGGCGCUUCUCUCUUUUUAUUCUUUUGCCUGCGACGGGCAGUGGGAGUCGCGGGGUGAAGACUCCUUUGAGGCUGGAGGGUUCGGGGCGUCCCUGCCCUUUGGUAGGACACUGCGGCUCCUGCCUGGGACUCGGCGCCGGCGAGCCCGUGCUUGGGCCGCGGGUCUCAGGCGUCUUUUGGGCAGCCACAUUGGGUCAUAAGAGAAUGAGCUCAAGCGACUGGGUCCCUGAGCGCCUUUGGACGUUGUGUCCUGCCGAGGAGGCUUAGGCUUUCCCGUGGGUCGAGGGUCCUGGUGACCUCCGAGGCCCUCCAAAGAAUUUCAUCAUGGUGCUUUGGAUGAUCAGUAACAAGAAAAAUGAAAUUCUGGAUUGAGGAUGAGCAGUCCAGGAAUGACCUCUCUACAACUAGAGAAAGAAGAAUGCAUGCAAUGUGUUCCCUGUAGUCCAAGAACCAGGGUAGCCCUGCUGGAGCUCUACAGAGCCAUGUGCCA
RNAcentral lists this long non-coding RNA (733 nucleotides) under Homo sapiens (human). RNAcentral describes it as "HSALNT0295732". Lineage: Eukaryota; Metazoa; Chordata; Mammalia; Primates; Hominidae. The record is from RNAcentral.